AUCAACCGUGUCCAGCUCCCAGCGUGUCCGAAAGCCUGUGUAUAUCCGUGGCUUACGCCCGUACUUUCUCGAGUGCACUCCGCUGUGGAAGCUGCCUUGUCCUCCUACCUGUCCGUCCGGCCUUUUCACGAGUGCUGCCACAAGCAAACAGUGGCAAGCGGGCGGUUCCCGCCCUGGAUCCUCCGGGGACGGAAAAUAGAGGCUUCUUUUUCAGGUGGAGAAAAGAACAGCUCAAAUUCGUUUGAAACAAAAUCGGGCAAGCUGGUGACGGGUCGGUAAAGUCCUCAUGCGCGAUGCUCCCUCCGUUCUUUCACAAAAUGAGCUCUCAACCGCUUAGUGCCUCGAUUCCGGCCAGUCUCUGCAGGAUUCAAACUGUGCUUGUUUGUGAACGAAAGCAUCCCGAUCCCAGCGCUUCCUAGCCAACCUAAGCGGCUGGAUAGUUCAUAGCCGCAGCUGUAGCCAACAGUGGAGGGACGGUACAACCGCGCCACUACAAAAGUUGCUCUGAGCAGAAAAGGCAACAAAACUACAAAUCCCCUCUCCCGUCCCCGACCUCUGCGCGCACACACCGUGUGCCUUCCGCUCCCUCCCGCAAUGGGGACCGUGGAAAUAAUGAAAAGUGCUAGCGAGGUCUGAGCUGCGUCUCCCGCCUCCAUGCUAUCACGCUCGGUCGCCCCACGUUUAUUAGGGUUAUACCUGACUCUCUUUCUGUCUCUCAACCACAGUGGUUAAAUCUGAACGGGGGCAGCUCUUAGCCCUAGCUGGAAAAGAAAUGUCAAAACCUGUUGCGUAGAUUUAGACCUGAAAAAGAGUCUUCUUAGCACCCUAAAAUGUGAGUACAGUGUUUACACUCCAGCUCCUCCGUAGGCGCUUUCACUUUAGGCUGCCUUAGCCGGACUGCAGCUUGCAUGUAACUUAAGUUCACUUCCCGGAGAGCUGGGCAGAGGCAGGGCUACCCCCUUCCCGGGCACUCUGUAUCAGCUUGCGUCCUAGAGCAAUCGUAAAUUAGUGACAUCUGGACCCAAAUUCUGCAUAACUGCUUUUAUCUUUGGGGAAAGAGAAAAAUUUUCCUACGUGCUAGAAGUCAGAGCAGAUACUGCCUGCACAGCCGCGGCGCGGGGCGAAUCGCAUUGUAGCGCCUUGCGAGCGAAAUAGGCGAUCGGGAGAGGAGCUUUUUUUUGGCAUUUGCGAAGGCUCUCGUUCCAUGACAUUAUAUUUCAGAGCAGGAGGAGCGAAUCGCCUGCUCACAUUUGCCCCUGGACCGACGAGAUGGUUUCGCCUGGCUACUGCCAGCUGUCUCCCGUUUAGCUGUCGUGGAAAGUUUUAGCUGAGCCGACCCAAAUUUUCGCUCUGCUCCGCUGCCGCCGGGCGGCGAAGGCCGGGGUUUCACCCGGUCCCGCUGUCACUUUGCCGAGACCCCACUCGGCAAGCGCCUCACCCCUCCGCGCAGCAGCGUGCGAGGCCGUCAGUGUCAACACAGUCUUUGGGAAACAUGAGUGAAAUAAAAAGGUGUUUUUUAUUGCGACGCUCCUUUCAUUAGCUGUGACACAGUCUGGCUGAGGAAUGGGGUGUGGGCGGGCGGUUUUCUUCCGAGGAGCCUUUCCUUGCGUGGAACUGCUCCGUGCCCCCGAGUGAGUGCCAAAGUAGAGCUGCAGUUUUCUGAAAAUCGCCUUUUCGGCUCUGCCUUCGCCGUCCCUUUGUAAUAGCAGCCUGCAAGGGAAGCUGCAGGCCCGCAUCGCUCCUGUUAAACACACGAGCCGAUUCACCUAAGCUGCCCGACACCUUUCCCCAGCCCCUCCGACGGCUGCUUUUGCGGAACCCUUCAUCCUUUUCACCGAGCUGGGCUCGGGACAAACCUGUCACCCACUCUCACACAUCCGCUCCUGCCAGCCAGCCGUGGGCUCGGCUCAGACAGGGCCACCUCCAAGAUCGGCAGGGGUAGCAAAUAAAUGAUAAACCCCACAACUUCCACAUGCCAGAAGGAAACACAUUUCGCCGCAGAUGUCCACUACCGUGGCGAGGACUGUAGGGAGAGAAACCAAAAUGACAGACAACUCCAAGUUUUCGUUUCUUUCUUUUUUUCCCUUCCUUUAUUUUAAAAUAUUUUUAAAUUUUAAAUUUUUUUUUCUUUCCUUUUGGCGGGACUGCAAUGUGCUUUCCCUUUAAAUCCUGUGUGGUUUACCGAGACCAAAAGCCUGCCUCAAUGAAGCUGCUACUCCGGCUAGGUUUUUCUUUUAUUUAUUCAUUUUUUUUAAAGGCAUCAUAACUACCUUUGCCGAGACACUGGGCCUACUUUCCCCAUACCAUCCAACCCUGGGGCUCAGCUCAGUUUCCCCGGGCUCGCAAGUUUUUUCGUGGCUGGACUAGGGCUUCUUUAGGGGGCCAAAGCUCACCCGGGAUUCCCGGAGGCAAUUUUGCAAUUCUGAUCCUCGGGUUGUUUCCUCCGCCGUCACGUUAUUUAUUCACCUUUUAUUUAUUUUUCAGUUUUGUUUAAAACGCGAGUCUAUCCCAUCAGAGAUGUCACUAAGCUCCUGUCUCGACUGAAAAAAAGAAAGCACGGCAGAGGAUCGCUGCACACAACUGAAUUAAGACAAACAACAAUUGCUUGUUGUUCCCUGAUUUGGAGAGAAAGGAAUAAUUCAAAGCUUUUGCUGCGCGCAAUGCAGCGUUCCUCAGGGGGACGGGUCAAGGAUUUCAGAUAUGUAGCGGGUAACUCGAUUAUGCUAACAAACUCCGCUUGAAAGAGAGCGCUGGUGGGUGCGGGGCGCGGAGCGGGGUGCUGGGGACUGGGGGGCUCUGCUGGGAGCCCGGGGGAGCGGAGCGUCUGCCCCACGGAGCCGCCCCGUUCCCCGCAGCUCCGCCGCUCCUCUCCAGCGCGGAGCCCUUUCCCCGCCGGCUGGACCUGAGAUGCUCGAGUAACGUCUUCGAAAGAGAUGUAUUAAUCAGGAGAUGGGGGCCUGAUGGAACGUGACUGAGUCGGCCUCGGUGAACCUUCCUGCCCCCGCCCCCCUCCCGCCCCUCCCGUGAAAUGGGACUCCGGGAGCGGCACUGUGUCCCCAGCUCAAGGCGCUGUAACCUCCCGAGCUCCCCACGAAACACGAUAGCCCCCCCAGCCGAUUAAUGCGGCCGGUCCUGAUUGCUUUUAUAUUAUUCUUUCUCGAUCUCGGGCGAGGGGCUGAGAGUUUUCACCCAGUUCUGCCAUCAGCACUCUCCCGGCCAUUAGCAUGGAUAUUUAUUUGGGGUGUUCCCACAGAUCCCGCGGAGUCCACAGACGGCUGGGGUUUGGACCAGGGGAAACAGAAGGGGGGCCCGGGCCGGUGCCCACCCAGCCCCCGCCCCACUCCGGGCGGCGGGGACCGCCUCAGAUGCUCCGCGGCAAGAGGGGUCUCUCUCGGCACACAGUGUACAGCUAACAGACAAGACAACAACAACAACAAAAGGCACAUAUGGUUAAAAUAAAGAGAGAGAGAGAGAGCGAGAGCUCUCUGCCUUAGGGGAUUGGCAAUAACUAGCCAGAAAUGCAGGGUAUUGAAUCUAAACUUCUGGUGGGCUUCUGCGGGAUUGACAACUUAAAUCACACUACAAGCAUCAAUUUGACAAUAUUUGUAAACUUCUUGUUUCCAGGGAUCUUCUUGAUCAGAGAUAGACCAGGUUGGUAUGAGCUCCAGCCACGAAGGUCUCUUUUUUCCCCUCCUCCUUUCCCCUCUUCCGAGUUGAUGAAUAGCGAUCAUGUUUCUUUUAAUGGCUGCCCCCUAUUCUCACAGCCUCCCACAACUAACCCAAGAGCCUGUUUCCUCGACCUCAGUUAAUUCCGCUGAUUAUUCCAAGAUGAUGAGGAAAGCACGAAGAUUGUUCACUGUUCCUACCGAUUCAGAGCACUUUUGUUACCAUCUCCAUCCCUGGCCCACAGGGGAGAAUUUUUAGGAAGAGGCUGCCCUCUCUUCCCUCCUGCCUUCCCUCCCCAGGCAGCAGACAGCUCCGGGGGCUCGGCCACAGUCCUGUGGCCCCGUGGGUGAGCGAUCCCGGCCGUGGUGGCCGAGCGCGGGCCCCCUUCGUGCCGGGAGGUCCCGGACCAGUGGCACCGCCGGCAUCCCUGGGGCGCUCAGGUGGCGGCGGUGCAGGUGAAGCCGAGCUCCCGCCGGGCCUUUUCCCAAAGGGAGCAAACCUCCCGCCACGUCCUGGCGCACCAAAGGGAAUUUCGGUUCCCCCCCAGGAAGGAAGGAGGCUCCUUCGGCCCCACGGGCUGAUGACGGGGAUCCACUCCGAGAAACUUCACUAGAGGGCUCUAAUACUCAGCUCCCAUGGCUGCUGAGAGGAAACAAGGCUCGUCCUUAACAUCCUUCAGUCUCCCAGAUAGAUUAAGCCUGGUAAAGUCUUCCGCAGCCUGUCAAAGGUGGUUCACAAUGUCAUCUCCAUGACAAGAAAUCCCUUAUCUCAGCAGCAGCCACCAGCUAUCCUGCUUACCUGCAAGUGAGUGGAAUUCAUGUCCCCUUCCUGGUGCAUAAUGACCCAAGAGGAUUUUGGGAGCACUUCUUCUGUAUCCAUGGCAAGGGAAGGAAGCACAGCCUCUAAAACCCCAGACACAGGUUCUUGAAUCAGCUCAAAUACGCUGGGGACCUUUUACUUCCCAGAGAAAAAAACUGGUAUCCCUUUUCAUUCCUUUCUUUUUUUUCAUCAGUUUUAUUCUCCAUAUAAACAAGGACUUUAUUACAAGACCAAGAUUGACUUUGUUGCUUAUUUAAGAUAUAGAAAAGGCCAACCCAGUGAACACUGAAUUGGUUUCAGACAGUUAAGUCACUUCAGCAGGCAGAACUGAGAUUGUGUGCUGUUGGGGUACCAUACCCCCAUCACAUUUCCUCCAACAGCCAAGUCAUGUGUGCACAAGGGGCACAACAUCUCCCCUGGAAGCAGAUGUUGAUGGCAGCUCACACUGAUGUUACACAGUGCAAGGAGGGGGCAUGAGCUAGGCACACCAUUUGGCUGCUACCAUGCACCCAGGCACAAUUUUGGUCGUACCAGAUGGCACCUGAUUUGACUCCCUCUGUCCUGCACUAUUCUAGUCCUCCAACACUCUCCCAGAAGUUUCUGCUGUCCCUUCCAUGCUCUCAGUCCACCCCCUCCUUUGGCUUCCUGUUGUGAAAAUAUCACUUGAACAAUUUGCAAUGCAUUCCUUUACAUUAUCUCUGAUACUCAGAACUAGAACCUCACAAGAAAUAUAUAUAUAUUUUUAAUUUUGAACCACAGAGGCACCAAAAGCCCCAAAGACCUAGUGACAAAUGCCACUUAGCCUCAGGAACAGAGAGGGGAUCUCAGCCCUGUUUUACUUAGCAAUAGACAUAGUUCAAACACCUUUGCAAAAUGGGACUAAACUCUGUUAGAAAAAUGAAGAAUUUCUCUGCCCCUUCUGAGGCACAGAAAUUCUUCAUUUUUCUAACAGAGUUUAAAGUCACUGCUGCAGUAAUUCUUAGUUGUUUCAUUUCCACCAUAGCUUGCUGAAGAAGCUGAUACUAGGCAUAGGGCUGGAGAUUUCAUUGAGUGACACUGAGCUGCAAAGCAUGGGAUUCUUGUGCAACUGCAAUUCUUCUAUGUCUGCUACCUGCUCUGGGCAGAAAACAAUAAGGAAAUUACUCUUUAAAGUUAUUAAAUACACACACACACAAAAAAAUUAUGUGUAUUUAUGUAGUCUGGCUGUUUUAAUUAACUUUUGUUUAAUUUUAAUUCAUGGAAAAAUAGAUUGUAAUUUAUUUUAAUCAAAAACUUUUCUUAAACAGUAAGAUAACCACAUCAGAGUGAUAUAACCUGGUAAACAUUACCUUAAUCUUGAACUCUUUUUCAUUUCAAUCAUAUAAGACAAGUGGUGGAAGAAAUGAAAUGGACCUUACAGGCAUCAUGAAGUGAGCCUCAGCUCUCAAGAAGAGAAGAAAUAAAGAAGUGUAAUUGGGUGAGUUAUAAUGUGAAAGCUGUAAUGUAGUGAGAAGGUUUAAUGCAUGUAAGGGAAGGAAAUGCUCUCAGUGCCAAAGUGGAUUUGUGGCUGGCAGGGGUGAAUGAGUGGUAUGAAUACAUCAAGGAGAGGGAUGUGCCUGAGGAUGGUUUUCUUAAUCCAUCAACUGCUCUUGGAGACAUUUGGAUAUAGAGGACAAAGGUGGGGCCAUCAAUUUAAAGGAUUAGGGCUAAAAGAAUGAACAAAGAAUGCAAACUGAAAGGUCCAAGCAUGGUCCCAUCAACAUCCCACAGGAGGGUGUAGGCAUCACAAAGAUCCAGGGAUUGCUGGGUGCUAGCCCAGGGUGGUUGCAGUGAUCUCUGGCCUUAAAUAAGAUGAAGAAGUCAGCUAGGUGAGAGACGAUUGGAGGGUUGGAAGUGGUUGAAAGAAUGGAGGGAAAGAGGAUUUGCCAUUUGAUAAGAAAUAGAAGGAGGUUUGUGAAAGUAAAAGUUUGAAAUUUUGUUGAUGAACCUCUCUCAGGCAUCUACUAAUGAUGCACCUGGCACACAGAGUGGCAGACAGUCUAGGAUGGCACAGAUCUUGGCAGUACUAUGGGACCAGCAUUGUCACAAGAAGGAGCAGUUUCUGAAAAAUGCAUAAAAUUUUUUCCUCAGUGUCAGGCAAUUUUUUUCCUCAGUCACUUCUCUUUUUGGAAGAGAAGUCACAUUAUUAUUGAUUAUCAUAAAAUUAUGCCUCUAUUGGCAUAAUUUUCUAAUGAAUUUUAUUCCCUGGGGACAAGAAGAUGAACAUUUAUGUCUCUGGUUACAUCUCUUAGAGUACACUAAAAGCAGCCAAGAAGUGCAAGAACUUGUUCCUGAUGUAUAUUUCCUUUGUGCUAGUCUUUCAAGACACUGAAGGUGUUGAGAUAUUGUUGAUAUUAUGUAACCAUCAUUAAUUAAGCACACAUAAGUGUUUAUUUUGGUUCUGAGAAAUCUUAUUUGAUCUCUGGAGACCCAUAAUGUGGUUCUUGCUCAAUCAUUUUGAGCAUAAAGGGCACUUUUCUAAGUACUGUAGAAGCUACAAAGUAUAAAUGAUCAUGAUCUGCAGAAUUUGAUGAAGCAGACAUGUUUCCUGCCAUAUGUUAAACGAUCAACUAGUUACUGUGUACUCUGUAGUUAUACAGGUUGAUAAUCUGAUGCUGAAUAAUGUGAUGUCAUGUGAAGACAAACUCUUUCCUUAUAUAGUCCCCAAGAAAUAAUAUUUUCUUUGUCCACAUCUGAAAAUUCACAGGCAAAUAUGCAACCAAUCAAAUCUUGUACAAAUGUUAACACCCAGAUGUGUGUUUCUGCAUGGAAUUAAUGUACAACUAGCAGAACUGUUGGAUAGAGAAAUCUUGUAAAAAUACAGAUUAGGCACACUUAAGUUAAAUAUGUCUAACUAGUCUGCCAAGAAUGUACAGUUUUAUGAAAUCUGUUUUAGGUACAAAACUCUCAACAUUUCCUUCUAAAACUUUCCAUUAACAUACAAAAAGGAGAGUGUAGAUUUCUGUAAUAAUCAGCAGAACCUUACCAUUUCAUGUAAACAAAUCAAAAGAACUAUAUAACCUUACUUCCAAAGGUCAACCUUUGCCCUCCAAACUCCCAUUAGAAGUUAGAACUUGAGUAAUCCUAUAUUUUAAUGAUAAACUUUGCAAUAAACACAUUCUAUGUAGUAAUAAUCAUUAAUAACAAGUUUGCAUGUUUGGUAGAACUUUUUUGAGAAAGACUGUCCAGUAUUUGUUAUGCUAAAAUCCAGCAGAACUUGAUUUGACCAUUUAGAGUGUCAAUUUAGAUUAUUAACAAAAAUGGGAAAGAGUGAAAAUUGAGAGAAAAUACCCAUAUCUGAGAAAAAGUGUCUCUUGUUCAGCUUGAUACACCUUAUAUCCCCAGUAAAUUAGAAGGGGCUAUUUGAAAUUUGGGAGCCACAGGGGAUCAAAAUCAGAUAAACCUCAGAACAGAAACCCAGGGUAAAUGCUUGCAGAAGUUCAAGCCUUCACACCUUACAAACUUCCAUUUUAUUCAAUAACUAGUUAGCCAGGAAAAUAAAGGAAAGAUUUCUCUCUGUGUGCCUGUAUGUGUUGUACAUGUACAUAUAUAAUGUAUGCACACAUUCACACACACCUGACUAUCCAGACUUAAUAUUUUUAUAAAUAUGGUGUGAGCCUUCCCUGCAUCCUCUCAUGAAAUCAGUGGGAACUUUGCUGAAACAAAGUGUUUGAAUAUAUUUCUAUUUCUAUUUCUAUUUCUAUUUCUAUUUCUAUUUCUAUUUCUAUUUCUAUUUCUAUUUCUAAUGAGAUCUAUUUCUGCUACUGGCCAUUUGAAGCCAGCAAACAGAAUAUGCUCUUUAUUGAUGUAUUAAUGAAAUUCUUUCAUUGCCACCUUGUUUGUUGAAAAAUUUGGUGAAAAAGAGAGUUAGUACUGAAUAGAUUUUUCUGUAAUAUCAUCAUUAAAAUACCAACUUGAGCUAGAAGGCCAGUGAAGAAGAAGAAAAAUCAGCAGGAAACUAUAUAUUGCAAUUUACAUUUGAAAUGUGGAUAUGCAGCAUGGAAGUUUUUUGCACUUCUCUUAAUGCUCUCUACUGCCAUACAUUACAUUAAUCUAGUGUCAGUUUAGGAAAGAUAUCAAGUGAGAAAAUUCUCAUUAGUUAACAUUCAUGACAUAUACAGGAUGAUUUAUCUCUUCCUAAAUGCAAAGUACUAAGAAUUCAUGCUCACCUACAUCACAAAGGUGAGUUCCUUUUCUGUUUGUAGAAAUAAUAUGCCCCCAAAAAUUGGGAGAACCACCAGCAAAUCCCAUGACAGCCAGUGGGAACUGGUUUUCUCCUCCAUUCCUUUGUGUCUGUGUUUUGAGUUCCUUGUGGAAAUGGACUCAGAUAUUAAUUUUGCAUUGAGAAGAUUCAUCCUUUUGGACAUGAAACAUAUAGUUUAGUCUGAAUUGGUACAUUAGGGUCAAAACCAAGCAAAGCUGCAGGAUUUAAAAUCCAGUCUAAGCUCUGGAGCUCUAGGCAGGUUUAUUUCAUUCUAAUGAUGUUACUAUUCAGUGUGCUGUUAGUGCUGUUCCAUCUGUCUCUGAUUCAGAGACCCAAUUUGAUUACCUGAAGUGGUGUCUUUUUUGAGGAAGGCUGAACAACCCUGCCCAUGAAAUUUCCCAUUUCUGGCCUCACUCUGACACUGUGUACUUUUCACAGACAGAUGGUCAUUGACUGAUCACAGUACUUUCUGGGUAUCUCCUGAUGGCUGCUCAACCCCAGAAACAAAAAGGGAAAGUUGCCAAGUCCAUUUGCUACAUGUGACUCCCCACUUCAGUCACACAGGAAAAGGCCUUGCCUCUAACCUGGGCAGUUGAUGGCUGGGUUUUCUCUUCAUGUGUAUCCUCUAAAACUGAACUGUGGAUUUGAGAGGAAACGAGCUUAAUAUGCCAUGUGCUUCCUAUUUGUUGGAGGCAUCAAUGCUGAAGCUCUGUUGGCAUGCUAAAAUGUGAACAUUUUUACAGUGUAGCAGGUUAUGGAAGCUGCUCUUGAUAAAUUCCAGUAACGGCAUUUUACACUCCAUGUGUUCCUUUCUGUGAAUGACAGAUUGCACUAUUAUGUCUCUAAAGAAGCUCUUGACAAGGGUGAUUCAGGCACAAAGAAAGUGGAACACGUGUCUAGUUCAGGGUUUCUACAUUCCCUAGCACAUUUACACAGGACUGUGAUCUUGUUCUCUCUGAUAUACUAGAGCAAGAAAAAACACUGCUCACUCUGAGUUAGACACUCCCUAAUAACAUCAGAGCCUCUGCUGAUGUAAACCUACAAAUAAACCUCUGAGUUUGCUAUCUCUUCUUCACUCUUGACUGAAUCUAGAGCUAUAUGUAGAAGUUUACCAGAUUUUUUCUUCUUUGUUGGACAGUAGAAGGGACUGUGGCAGAUAGACUAGAGGUAGAUGAUUUGACUUGCUGGAUAGCAGGGAUUAGAGAUCAACCAGUCUACCUGAGUAACUACUAGAAGUCUUUGUCUUGAAAAUAGAGUAACCAAGAAAAAAUAAUUGACAUACAUCAUGUAUUCUGAAAGUGCUUCUUGCAAGAAGAGCGUUCAUAACCUUACCCAGUAGGAAUCUUCCAGGCAUAGGAAUUACCACUGGUUUUAUCCAUUUGGUGGAACUAAUGGGAACAAAUUUCAAAGAUAUAUUAUUGCUUGUGAUUGGCUAAAUACUUAGAACACAUAUCAUUAACCACUAGGUGCUCUCUAAAGACAGCACACAAAUCUAGUUGUAAAUACUAGAAACACUGUGCCUGAUUUAGAAACAUUCAGAAUAACCCAGCAUUCCUCAAAUGCACAGUUUUAACUUUGCUCAAGUCUGUUUUGUGGUUUAUUCUUCAGCUUUCUAGGUGGAUACAUGAGUUUCCAUUUCAAGUUUUAGCUUAAUGACUCCACGUAACAAGCAGGAGAAAAGGGAAGCUGUAUGAAUUAAACAUUACAUAGGAUUUGGCAAAGCACGUACAGGAAUUCCAUAAGGAAGAGUAAAAAAAAAACCCCAAUCCCUACAUAGCUGCACAAAGUUAGCAGUAACAACAAAUAGUGCUGUUACCCUCUAAAAGAACACACUUUUCAGUCAGCCUUGGCUGGUGAAAUGCAGAAGCUUCAUGUGGAUUACAAUUUUUAAAAUCUUUCAACAUCAAAAAAUAGAGGAACUGUAGUGUGUUUUUGUUUCAGAGUACUUUGCAUGCAAUCUCAAGAUAAAUUGGAGAUACUGAUUGUGUUUGUACCUGUGCCAGACGUUGUCGUUAGAUAUUUCUGUUUUGUUUCAUCAGCCAGAUGAACUUACCCAGGGACAUUGAUCAAAUACCUACAUUUAAAAGAACACACUGUCAAAUUAGUGGAUAGAAAGAGCACAUUAUGAGAGAGAAAUUAUCUGGUGAAAGAUUUAAAGACUGACUCACUUGUGUUUUGUUUCAUUAAAUGCGGGGUAGUCCCCUUUCAUUUUCCAUUUAGCAUGAACCUACUUGUACUCCAUUACAGUAUCAGCCUUAGAAGAAACUCACUGGCUUGGGACACACGUGAGCCUCCUUGGAAAAAAUACAACUUCCCUUAUUACAGAUUCUAGAUUGCAUUAAAGUGUAGUGCCUGGGCUAGCUUAUCCCACAGGCCUUCCUGGAGAUAUUCCUGUGUACUCCAGCAGGUCUCAUGGCUGCAAAGGGUUGUGGUGGGCUGCAGGAGCAUUCCCAGAUGGCCAGGGUGGUGGCUGCUUCUCCAAGGGGAAGGACUUGGGACAGCAAAGGGUCCACCCACACCUCUCAGGAAUGCAGAAUACAUUCUCAAGAGGAAAAUACAAAAAUCCCUAGGAAAACUAUUUGGACAUUGUCCUUCCCCCCCUCCCUCUUAGAAGCUCUUGGAAGAAAAUCUUGAUCCUUUUAGUUAGUGUCAAGGGAGCAGCUUGUUGUGAUAAUGGAGGGGUGAAGAUGGGGCUGGAGAGUGAGCACGUGUGAGCUAGGGGACAUCCAGACGAGCAGAAAAAAAGAAUGAAAUGGAUUUAAAAAGGCUUCAGAAGUUACAGCUGAGAGUAUUUUAUCUUUGUUUUGGUAACACUGGGUAAUGUCAUUCAGGUUGGCUAAAAGCCCUUGCUCUUCAAAAGAGUUGUCAAAGAUUUAUUUUAUAAAAAUGUAAGCAAAAGACACACCAAACACUUUGUGUUUCAUGUUUUUAGGUCUUUGUGUUAGUGGUAAUUUCUUGCUGUCAUAUUUAUUAUACACUAAUUAUUUCUAGAUAGGAAAUACUUCUGUCCUCUGAUUGAUACCUGUAUGAUACCCAACUAUUUCUCUCUGGGUGUGUUAUCUGUAUAAAUGUACAGAACCCAGAGGACCCUGGAGCCCACCCCCAUCCUGCACAGCAAGAGCAGCCCAUUGCUGGCCCAGGCGAGAACUCAGACACCUUCAUUCAUUUUCAUCUCGGUGGGGGAUGCCUGAAAGGCCUCUGCCUGAUGUGGCAAGGAAGCCCCAAGGUGGGAAGAGCCAUCUGGCUGUAACUGAGGCUGUUCCUCAUGUGUGCUUGCCUGCUUUCUGCCCUCCAAAUGUUGUGACAUUCCUACUUUGGUGCAAUGCUGUGGUGCAAGAGGGCAACAUGUCAUUAAGUGCUUUGGUUGCUUGCUCAGGCCAUGCUCACCUUCAAGCCCCACACCUCAGGUACCUUGAAGCUGAGCAAGCAGGCAUGGAAAAGGUUCCCAGCAGGAUUUCACAUGGAAGAAACCCAGUGUUACUAGUCUUACCCUUAGCCUGUUAGCCCUCACAGUCAGUUGCACUAGUGUGUGCUCCUUGCUGUGAGGGAUCCUGGCAAAUGGGCCUCUCCCCUUCCUAAUCCAGGCAGUACCCAGAGAGCUGCCAUUCCAAAGCCAGGCUUCAUGGCUCAAACUCACAGUUCAUAGAGAAAGUGCCCUGUAUAAAUUGUCAGCUUUGAAGCCAAGCCCUUCCCCACUUAGCCUGCAUGGUAAAUCAAGCUUUGGUGCUACUUUCCAUCCAGCUCCAUUACACAAGUAGUCUGAUUUAGCUUUGUGGCAGAAAAGCGUUUUAGCUAAAAUGGGAUUUUUCACAGAGUGGGGAUAAACAUGACUGUUUUAUUUGUAAAGUGUAAGGCUAAGAGAUUGUAACAGGGAGUGCAGGUGCAGUUUCAAAUCCCUGCCUGGCUGUCUCAGUACCUGGGCUUGGUGCCUGAAUUCUCUCAUGCUCAGAUCUACAGCAGCACCACAACAAAUCAGAACCUUCCAUGAAAGCUUUCACUCCUCAUAUUUAAAAAGACAUUUCCAUUAAUGCCUGUGAAAUUUUGCCCUGCGUCUUUUGGAAGUGAAAAUAGCCAGCCCCCAGAACUACUGUACCAUCCUUGUUCCCCAGAAAUGUUAAUUCAUCAUUAAAAUUAUUAAACAGUAAA
Molecule: long non-coding RNA, 12853 nt
Organism: Haemorhous mexicanus (house finch)
Lineage: Eukaryota; Metazoa; Chordata; Aves; Passeriformes; Fringillidae
Exons: 2
Source: RefSeq, a predicted model, not a curated record